UACGGGGGGGGCAAGCGUUGUUCGGAAUUACUGGGCGUAAAGGGCUCGUAGGUGGCCAACUAAGUCCGACGUGAAAUCCCUAGGCUCAACCUAGGAACUGCGCUUGAGACUGGAGAACUAGAGUUCGGGAGAGGAUGGUGGAAUUCCCAGUGUAGAGGUGAAAUUCGUAGAUAUUGGGAAGAACACCGAUGGCGAAGGCAGCCAUCUGGACCGACACUGACGCUGAGGCGCGAAAGCGUGGGGAGCAAACAGG
RNAcentral lists this ribosomal RNA (253 nucleotides) under uncultured bacterium. Its description in RNAcentral is "partial 16S ribosomal RNA". It matches the Rfam family "Bacterial small subunit ribosomal RNA", at positions 524 to 776 of the family's 1533-position model. The record is from RNAcentral.